CAGUAGCCGCGGUAAUACGUAGGGUCCGAGCGUUGUCCGGAAUUAUUGGGCGUAAAGAGCUCGUAGGCGGUCUGUCGCGUCUGCCGUGAAAUCCUCAGGCUCAACCUGAGGCGUGCGGUGGGUACGGGCAGGCUAGAGUGCGGUAGGGGAGAAUGGAACUCCUGGUGUAGCGGUGGAAUGCGCAGAUAUCAGGAAGAACACCGAUGGCGAAGGCAGUUCUCUGGGCCGUAACUGACGCUGAGGAGCGAAAGCGUGGGGAGCGAACAGGAUUAGAUACCCGCGUAGUCCCUGUCUCUUAUAC
RNAcentral lists this ribosomal RNA (301 nucleotides) under uncultured bacterium. Its description in RNAcentral is "partial 16S ribosomal RNA". It matches the Rfam family "Bacterial small subunit ribosomal RNA", at positions 509 to 807 of the family's 1533-position model. The record is from RNAcentral.